AGAGUUUGAUCAUGGCUCAGAACGAACGUUGGCGGCGUGCUUAACACAUGCAAGUCGAACGAGAACGAGUUCUUCGGAACUUUAGUAAAGUGGCGCACGGGUGAGUAACGCGUAAGUAAUCUACCCUUGCAUCUGGGAUAACUACGGGAAGCUGUAGCUAAUACCGGAUACGUUCUCCCUUCUACGGAUUGGAGAAGAAAGAUGGCCUCUUCUUGAAAGCUAUCGUGCAGGGAGGAGCUUGCGUACCAUUAGCUAGUUGGUAGGGUAAUGGCCUACCAAGGCAACGAUGGUUAGCGGGUCUGAGAGGAUGAUCCGCCACACUGGAACUGGAACACGGACCAGACUCCUACGGGAGGCAGCAGUGAGGAAUAUUGCGCAACGGGGGAAACCCUGACGCAGCGACGCCGCGUGGAUGAUGAAGGCCUUAGGGUCGUAAAAUCCUGUCAGAUGGGAAGAAAUGCAUAUAGCUUAAUACGUUAUGUGUUUGACGGUACCAUCAGAG
RNAcentral lists this ribosomal RNA (502 nucleotides) under uncultured bacterium. RNAcentral's name for it is "bacterial SSU rRNA". It matches the Rfam family "Bacterial small subunit ribosomal RNA", at positions 8 to 486 of the family's 1533-position model. The record is from RNAcentral.